UUUCGUGACCGAAGACGCUGGAAAAGGUCGGCACGUUUGGACUUCCGUCUCUUUCCCAGCUGAUAGGAUAGCAUGCUGGCAAGAAAUGGCAGUCCAGAUGUGUACACCUUCAAGCUCUUGUCA
Molecule: microRNA precursor, 123 nt
Filed under: Caenorhabditis remanei
Lineage: Eukaryota; Metazoa; Nematoda; Chromadorea; Rhabditida; Rhabditidae
Description: mir-74a
Rfam family: mir-74 microRNA precursor family (bases 28-106)
Source: RNAcentral